CCUACGGGUGGCAGCAGUGGGGGAUAUUGCACAAUGGGGGAAACCCUGAUGCAGCGACGCCGCGUGGGUGAAGAAGCGCCUCGGCGCGUAAAGCCCUGUCAGCAGGGAAGAAAAUGACGGUACCUGAAGAAUAAGCCACGGCUAACUACGUCCCAGCAGCCGCGGUAAUACGUAGGGGACAAGCGUUAUCCGGAUUUACUGGGUGUAAAGGGCGUGUUGGCGGGAAAGCAAGUCAGAUGUGAAAACCAUGGGCGCAACCUGUGGCCUGCAUUUGAAACGGUUUUUCUUGAGUACUGGAGAGGCAGACGGAAUUCCUAGGGUAGCGGUGAAAGGCGUAGAUAGUAGGAGGAACACCAGUGGCGAAGGCGGUCUGCUGGACAGCAACUGACGCUGAGGCGCGAAAGCGUGGGGGGCAAACAGGAUGAGAUACCCUAGUAGUC
Molecule: ribosomal RNA, 440 nt
Filed under: uncultured bacterium
Lineage: Bacteria
Description: partial 16S ribosomal RNA
Rfam family: Bacterial small subunit ribosomal RNA
Source: RNAcentral